UGGAGUGAUUUAAACAUAUGCGUAUAUAUUAUCAAAGGAAGCAGGUAGCACACUUCGAUUUGACGGAGUCUCUGGCUUAGGGUCCAGCCAUCAUGUCGUUUUAACGCUGAAGCGUGCAACAAGCAAUGCAUCGUUAUGGAUUGGGUUAAUUUCAGCAAAAGCAGUGCAUCCAGUAUUCUCAUCUGUGUAAUUACUUAAAUUGGCGUCUGAUCUGGUUCUAGAUUUUGAUGAAGGAAGCUCAAAAGGCGGAUACAAGGGGUGUGUGUUAUUUGAGCAGGAUCCCCUUAAAGUAUCUACUGAUAGGUGCCUUGUGGUUACUUGUCAUUACUUUCAAGGACUGAGGAAAGAAAGUAGCUGGUGCAGAUUAAUGUGGCACUUUCAAGACUGAGAUUCCAGCUCUAGCUAAUUAGCAGGUCAUCCCAGAGUAACUACCCUAUAAGUUGCAUAGCCUCUACCUAUUGUACUCUCCUCUGUUCCUGCUACCAACUCAUCUCAUUCAUCUGCUGCUGGUGUUGCAGCUG
Long non-coding RNA from Spinacia oleracea (spinach), 521 nucleotides. RefSeq lists it as uncharacterized. The record is from RefSeq and is a predicted model, not a curated record. The transcript has 4 exons. NCBI's taxonomy places the organism in Eukaryota, Viridiplantae, Streptophyta, Magnoliopsida, Caryophyllales, Amaranthaceae.